GUGCUGGCUUCGGCAGAGCAUACACUAAAACUGGAACAAUACAGAGAAGAUUAGCAUGACCGCUGCUCAAGGAUGACAUGCAAGCCUUAUUUUUAUUUAUUUAUUUAU
Small nuclear RNA from Mandrillus leucophaeus (drill), 108 nucleotides. Lineage: Eukaryota; Metazoa; Chordata; Mammalia; Primates; Cercopithecidae. The record is from Ensembl.